CUCGCAAGAGUGAACUAGCUAACUGAAAUCACAUAAGACAUAAAUGUGUUAAAAGUGAUAAGGUAAGGGAAAAAACUGAUGUUACCUUACUAUUAGUGUUGUCCAAAUCUGGUGCCAGAAGACUCGGUAAGACCAGAAACGCAAACGUUAAUCGUCCUUAUCAGGCGUAAAGGGUUUGUAGGCUGCUUUUAAAACUUCUAUUUAAAAAAGCUCUGAUAAAAUCAGUUAAAUAGGUAAAAAAUAAAAGCUAGAAUCAAAUAGAGGAUAAGCCGAAUAAUACUUAGAGUAGGGAUGAUAUCCUUAGAUACUAAGUGGAAUACUAAAGGUGAAAGCUUUUAUCUACUAAU
RNAcentral lists this ribosomal RNA (347 nucleotides) under Amanita pantherina. RNAcentral's name for it is "partial 12S small rRNA subunit". It matches the Rfam family "Bacterial small subunit ribosomal RNA", at positions 374 to 735 of the family's 1533-position model. Lineage: Eukaryota; Fungi; Basidiomycota; Agaricomycetes; Agaricales; Amanitaceae. The record is from RNAcentral.